GGGCCCUGCACCCAAAGCUCCGGGGAUGCACAGAAAGAACGUAGGGAGGAAAGGAGAGUGGCCAGGGGGCCGGCAGCGAUGAGGGAGGGGACGCUUCCGCAGGAACUGCCUCCUGGCCCACAGCAGCAGAGACUCCAGCCAUCACACACAUGCUCCACACCUGACUGCGAGGAAGAGAUGGAGAAUAGCUGCUCCUCCCUUCCAGAUCUGCCCAGGAAUUCCAGUGGCCCCCUGCUCACCACUUAGUCCUGUACCCCCCCUGGGAUGUGUAGGAGCCCGGGAGAAAAAGCCUUUUUAGAUGCCCAGGCCAGCGAGUUCCUGGUCUCUUAGAGAAAAGGAAGAAAGACAUGCAUCAAGCUAAAGAAGUAAACAGCUCAUGGCACGUUUAACAAAAAGAUGACAGGCGGAUACAAAAGCUAUCCAGCAUCUUUGGGCAGCCAUUGAGAUUAUACGGAACCAGAAGCAAAUUGCCAACAUUGACCGUAUUACCAAAUUUCCAAUCAAGAUGUAAAGGGUGAAGAAUCAAAGAACAAAGAAUCAGUAACAAGUGAAAUUUAAGCCUUCAGUCAUGCAGAUUCCUAAUAUGAUGCAUAACUCAUUGUCAUGUUAUUUCUCUAAAUGCCAUGUAUAGUUUAAUGUCCAAUAAAAUCAAGUUACAUAUA
Molecule: long non-coding RNA, 662 nt
Organism: Lemur catta (Ring-tailed lemur)
Lineage: Eukaryota; Metazoa; Chordata; Mammalia; Primates; Lemuridae
Exons: 4
Source: RefSeq, a predicted model, not a curated record